Molecule: non-coding RNA, 144 nt
Organism: Brachypodium distachyon (stiff brome)
Lineage: Eukaryota; Viridiplantae; Streptophyta; Magnoliopsida; Poales; Poaceae
Source: Rfam
ACGACCUUACUUGAACAGGAUCUGUUCUAUAGGAUCGUACCGCUACAUCCUUGACUAACAAGGAGGCCAGCACUUAAACCUGGUUGAUGACAUGAGACCCGAAAAUCGUACGAGAAACAUCAUAAUAAAUAAUCGGUCAUGGUU